CGAACGGGGAGAUUCAUCGUCAGCGGACGCCGGCUUCGCGUCGGUCGGCGAUGUCCUGCGGGGGCCCUCGCGGCUCUCAGCGCGGGCACGCUGCCGUGCGCCGAUGUUUCCGGCUUCGCCGUCGUGCACUUCUCCCCUGGUAGAACGUCACGACCCGCUGAGUGUCGGUCUACGGCCCGGGUGCGGUGUCUGACGCGCCGCCGGUAAAACGGCGCACGUCAAACCCCCGGUCGCCCGGCCGGCUGCCCGGCGGUACGCGCAAGGUAUCAGGCCGCACACACUUCGAAAGAAGCGCGGUGCGUCGAGGCCGUCGCAAGCGCGCGCCACGGUACACGGAGGUACGGACCUGGCGCCGUCACCGGUCCUGACCCGCUGUUGGUCAUACGGUUAACCUUCGACAGGCCUACGAACGUCCCGGCGCGUCGGGGGUCUCUCCCGGCUGCGUCGGC
RNAcentral lists this ribosomal RNA (449 nucleotides) under Myrmica luteola. Its description in RNAcentral is "eukaryotic LSU rRNA". The record is from RNAcentral. Lineage: Eukaryota; Metazoa; Arthropoda; Insecta; Hymenoptera; Formicidae.